RNAcentral lists this long non-coding RNA (1243 nucleotides) under Callithrix jacchus (white-tufted-ear marmoset). RNAcentral describes it as "lncRNA (ENSCJAG00000080870.1)". Lineage: Eukaryota; Metazoa; Chordata; Mammalia; Primates; Cebidae. The record is from RNAcentral.
UAUGACUCUGCUUUUUAUGCUCAUCAGCUUAGGCUAAGGGGCACUUUUUAGCUGCCAAGGAACAAAGUUUCCAGUUAUUUAAUGUUUUGCGUAUUUUUUUCUUUUCUAGAUGCUUCCCCUGAGGCAGCCCACUGUUGUGCUUGUCAUAUCACUUGGGUGCCUGUAGACAUCUGUAUGCUUCUCCAGCUGCGUGGGAGACACACUUCACCUUGUGGCUCCUCCUUUCAAAGGUUGCAUGUGCUGUAUGGAGGAACAGUUGACUUUGCUGAUAGAGAACGUCUCAUUGCACCCCCUUUCCACACCAUCUGUCUGACCUGGACCCAUUCCAAACACUACGGCUUUGCUGGCAGAAUGGUCUUCCUGCUACAGAAGUUUUGUAAUCUGCUAAUUGACAGGGGCUUUGGCACAAGUGUUUCCCUCUAAGAAUGCUCUCCACACCCUUCCUCACCAGUGAACUCUUCAGGAGAUCUGCUCAGCCAUCACGAGGAAGUCUCUUCUGACCUUCCUGAUCAGUUCCAGCUUGUCUAUUGCCUCACUUCCCUCUUGUCUCUCCAAGGUAAUGUUAUCUUUUUGUGUGAUUCUUUGACUAAUGCUUGUUCACCCAUCAUCUGUGGGUUCCAUUAGAACUGGUUUCCAGCCUGGCCAACAUGGUGAAACCACAUCUCUACUAAAAAUACAAAAAUUAGCCGGGUGUGAUGGCAGGAACCUGUAGCCCCAGGUACUUGGGAGGCUGAAGCAGGAGAAUUGCUUGAACCCGGGAGACAGAGGUUGCAGAGAGCCAAGAUCUUGCCACUGCACUCCAGUCUGGGCAACAGAGCGAGACUCCAUCUCAAGGAAAAAAAAAAGUACUGGUUUCAUGCUAUUCUCAGGACAGUGCCUGGCAUAUAGUAGAGGCUCAUUAAAUACUUGUAGAAUAAAUAGAUGAAUGAAUGAAUAGUUCCAAUAGCAUUUUAGAAGCAGAAAAACCCAGUGAUGUGGGAGGGUUUGGGAUGAGAAGAAAAGUUUCCACGGCAGCAGGGUGGAGUGAUAACUUCUUAUUCAGGGAGGAGACAGGGAGGCUCACAGAAGUGGCCAAAGCCAGAUACCUUCUCCUCCUGAACUGAAGUCUGUCAGUGUAACUAAAGUGGGGAGUUUUGUGUACAUCAAUAGGCCCGAGAGCCCCACUAUGUUAUAGGAGAUAAUAUUAAUUUACAUGUCUAAGGUCAACCUUAAAUAUUAAGAAAAAGUUAAAUUACAUGAUUUG